RNAcentral lists this ribosomal RNA (694 nucleotides) under Mrakia gelida. RNAcentral describes it as "eukaryotic LSU rRNA". The stretch from base 254 to 407 matches the Rfam family "5.8S ribosomal RNA". The record is from RNAcentral. Lineage: Eukaryota; Fungi; Basidiomycota; Tremellomycetes; Cystofilobasidiales; Mrakiaceae.
UUUUAAAAGAGCCAAACGGUGCACAGGUGUAUGUAUGGGAAGUAAAAAAUCGUAACAAGGUUUCCGUAGGUGAACCUGCGGAAGGAUCACUAGUGAUUAAAUCGAGAGUGUCUUCAUUGACCUCUCACCCUUCACAUCCACAUACACCUGUGCACCGUUUGGCUCUUUUAAAAGACGCAAGUCUGCAAAGAGAGUCAUCAAUUUUAUACAUACCCCAGUCUUAUGAAUGUAACAGUUUUAAUAAACAUAAUAAAACUUUUAACAACGGAUCUCUUGGUUCUCGCAUCGAUGAAGAACGCAGCGAAAUGCGAUAAGUAAUGUGAAUUGCAGAAUUCAGUGAAUCAUCGAAUCUUUGAACGCACCUUGCGCUCCUUGGUAUUCCGAGGAGCAUGCCUGUUUGAGUGUCAUGAAACUCUCAACCUUCAACUUUUUUAUUAAGGCUGAAGGCUUGGACUUGAGCGCUGCUGGUUUUCACUAACCGGCUCGCUUGAAAUGAAUUAGCAGAUCCUUUUUGUAAUCGGUUCCACUCGACGUGAUAAGUAUUUCGCCGAGGACAUACGAAAGUAUGGCCGAGAUAAGAGAAGUCUUUUAGAUCCGCUUCUAAUUCUUAGAUCAAGCUUGCUUGACUAAACCCCAUUUUAUGAUCUGGCCUCAAAUCAGGUAGGACUACCCGCUGAACUUAAGCAUAUCAAUA